AGUAUGACAUGGUCAUCCCCAGUGCCAACCACUUAUGAUGGCUUUUACCCUCUCUAUAGACCUGGGGGUAAUAAAGACAGGGAAAAUCUGGUGUCACCCGACCCGUUACUACCGCCUCUCCAAUAGCUGUGGACUCUUUAUUGGGCCUAAAUCAUCGGUAUCUGGCUGAACAAAUCCCCUGUUAAACCCACCUAUUUAAUCCUUGGUCUUCAGCGGAUACUGCUCUCCUGGAUAACGACAGACUAGGAACGUAUUCACGGGAUAGGGAUUAAAUCCUAUAAACCCAAAAACACCACCCCUGGCGAAAGCUGUUUGCUAGAACGCGCCCCACCGUAAGGGAUCAAACCUGGAGGAACGAACCCUAUUAGAUACCCCGGUAUUCCCUACUGUAAACGAUCCAGAUUAUGUGUAUGCACGUUCACUUGCCCUUCUACUGCCACACGCAAACUGUUAAAUCAGCCACCUGGAAACUACCAUCCUGAGAUUUACACUUACAGGAAUUGACCUUAGAGCACUU
Molecule: ribosomal RNA, 517 nt
Filed under: uncultured archaeon
Lineage: Archaea
Description: bacterial SSU rRNA
Rfam family: Archaeal small subunit ribosomal RNA
Source: RNAcentral